Molecule: ribosomal RNA, 915 nt
Filed under: uncultured archaeon
Lineage: Archaea
Description: bacterial SSU rRNA
Rfam family: Archaeal small subunit ribosomal RNA
Source: RNAcentral
UUUCUGGUUGAUCCUGCCGGACCUGACUGCUAUCGGAUUGAUACUAAGCCAUGCGAGUCAUUGUAGCAAUACAAGGCAUACGGCUCAGUAACGCGUAGUCAACCUAACCUAUGGACGGGAAUAACCUCGGGAAACUGAGAAUAAUGCCCGAUAGAACAUUAUGCCUGGAAUGGUUUAUGUUCCAAAUGAUUUAUCGCCGUAGGAUGGGACUGCGGCCUAUCAGUUUGUUGGUGAGGUAAUGGCCCACCAAGACUAUUACAGGUACGGGCUCUGAGAGGAGUAGCCCGGAGAUGGGUACUGAGACACGGACCCAGGCCCUAUGGGGCGCAGCAGGCGAGAAAACUUUGCAAUGUGCGAAAGCACGACAAGGUUAAUCCGAGUGAUUUCUGCUAAAGAGAUCUUUUGUUAGUCCUAGAACCACUAACGAAUAAGGGGUGGGCAAGUUCUGGUGUCAGCCGCCGCGGUAAAACCAGCACCUCAAGUGGUCAGGAUGAUUAUUGGGCCUAAAGCAUCCGUAGCCGGCUCUGUAAGUUUUCGGUUAAAUCUGUACGCUUAACGUACAGGCUGCCGGGAAUACUGCAGAGCUAGGGAGUGGGAGAGGUAGACGGUACUCGAUAGGAAGUGGUAAAAUGCUUUGAUCUAUCGAUGACCACCUGUGGCGAAGGCGGUCUACCAGAACACGUCCGACGGUGAGGGAUGAAAGCUGGGGGAGCAAACCGGAUUAGAUACCCGGGUAGUCCCAGCUGUAAACUAUGCAAACUCAGUGAUGCAUUGGCUUGUGGCCAAUGCAGUGCUGCAGGGAAGCCGUUAGGUUUGCCGCCUGGGAAGUACGUACGCAAGUAUGAAACUUAAAGGAAUUGGCGGGGGAGCACCACAAGGGGUGAAGCCUGCGGUUCAAUUGGAUUCAACGCCGGA